AUUUCAAUUUCUUUCUCAAUCUUUUCCAAGACCGCCUAAUUUACUCCCCACCCUCCAAACUUCCCUCUAAUUUUUUCAAUUUUUUCCCCAUCAUCGAUCCAUUUUCCCACUCUGUAUAGGGUCACUCCAUUUGCAAGGCAGUGAACGGCAAAAUAACCGUAUGCGUUUUCUCAUUAGCUUCGUCGUCAUAGGUAAUACUUUGUCUCAUGUUGUUUCUCAUCACCAAAGGUUCUACUUCACACUACGAAUUUACAUUCGUGUGCAUGUUCUAGGGUUACUCAGUUUGUGGCCUUGUAUUUUGUUUGUUUUUUAUUCAAAUAUCGACGCAUCAGAAUGUUUAAUUUUGUAGUCUUAAUAGAUUUAAUGGGUUUUGUGUGAUCUAGGGUUCUGAAUGGAAUUGUGUUUAUUGGAAUUCAGAUUUGGGCUAUUUAAUUUUGGUGCCCUAAAUUUACUUUUGGGGUUUGAAACAAAGCAUUGUAGUUAUUUGUCUAUAAAUUAGUAAGGACCGUAUUUAUUAUAAUAAGUGUUUUUAAUUUUUGAUGAGAAUGAUGAAUGGUGUCUAGAUUUUUGAAUUUUUAAGUUAACUAGUUUAAGGCACCAUAUUUGACUUCAAACUCUAUGAAAGUUGCUUAACCUUGUGUUAGAGGUGGAAGCGAGUCAGAGUAGUUUGUCCCUCUGCAUAUGCAUCUGAUUCUUCUUCGGGCCCAAAAUGACAUUCUUUAGUAAGGAAAAUGAUUCCAGGUGUGAAACAAAGGAGCAGUUUUAACCAGAUUGACAACCAAUAUGAAAAAAAAAUUGAUCAAGGAAGGGCUUGAAACGGGUACGAUUGUGCGAACCAAUGACAUUAAUCAUUCAAAGGAGAGGGAGGUUGUUGCCUUCAGCUGUUGCUCUUUCUAGCUACGAAGAGAAGGAAGAACAGUUCAAAGAACAGAGUGGAUGAAAUUGGUUUUUUAUUUCAUUUUGUAGGUGAAGAUGAUCGAAGUGAGUAGGAAAUCUGGGCAUGCUACACAAGCAAAUGACGAAGGAGGUUCACUCGCAUAGUUUAAUGAAAUAUUGUAUUUUUGUUAGUAUUUUUUUUGAAAUAUUGCAUGAAAUAUUGGUUUGUUAGUAUCAACAUUAAGGCAAUACGUAGUGGGGCGCGACCAAGGGCCAUAGCGCCGCUAUGGCGCCGCCCACACCGCCCCCCCCCCCCCCCCCGGCGCCAUGACCAAAAAAAACAAAAGGCGUGAAAAAAUUCGCGGCGCGAGAAGUUGGGGAUUUGUUCUGCAUUUUCCACUUUGGUCCCUGCAUUUUACAAUUUGGUCCCUGCAUUAAAACACUUUGGUCCCUGCAUUUUACACUUUGGUUAUGAUGAGGUAGGGCUUUAUGACUACGGGCUCUAGUGACAUAACGCCCCAUAAAGCCCCUGUGUGACGUGGCACGACACGUGUCGCAUAACGCCCACAAAAGGGCUUUAUGACUACACAUGGCCUGAAAUAUUGUUUAACUUUGUUAUUUGAAUAAUUGAAUGAAAUGGAUUGUUUUGAUA
Molecule: long non-coding RNA, 1528 nt
Organism: Helianthus annuus (common sunflower)
Lineage: Eukaryota; Viridiplantae; Streptophyta; Magnoliopsida; Asterales; Asteraceae
Exons: 5
Source: RefSeq, a predicted model, not a curated record